CGCCCCGGCGAGGGGAAACUGAGGCAGGGGCCGCUCAGUGGGGCUCCGUGCAGUGCCGCGUUAUAUAAGGAAAAGCCUCUCGGGCUGAGUCACCCGGCGGGGGUGGGUCCGGCCAGAGGCCACGGACACGGACACGGGGGGUUCGCAGCCGCUUGGCACCACCGGCGAGGGAGGAGCUGCCCUGGGGGGCCGGGGGGCCAUGCCAGGCUCGCAGUGCCCCUGCCAGCCUCCCAGCGCCCCUGCCAGGCUCCCAGUGCCCACGCCAGGCUCACAGCACCGGUGCCAGGCUUGCGGUGCUUGUGCCAACCCUGCAGCGCUGGUGCCAGGCUCGCAGCACCCGUGCCCAGCCACAGCACUGGUGCCAGGCUCGCAGCACCCACAGCAUGCCCACAGGAGCAGGAGCAGGCUGGCAGCACCCAUGUUGCACUGAUAGCCUCCGUGUCACACUCACAGCACGGGUGUCACGCUGAUAACACCUGUGCAAGCUCUGGUAACGCUUGGAUCGGUCUCACAGCACCAAUUCCCACUCACCUUCUGCAAAUGUGGACCACCCAUACCAUGCUCACACCACCUCUGCCAGCCUGCAGCAGGCUUGCACCACCCACACCCAGCUCAUGGCACCCACAGCACCCAUCCCACACUCCAGCACCCAUCCCGCACUUAGGGAACACAUGCCAGGCUCUCAGAGCCCAUCCCAGGAUUGCACCAUCAGGCUCACAGCACCCAUAUCCUGUUCACAGCACCCCUGGCAGCCUCACAGUAUUCACACCAUGCUUGGUAUUGCCCAGGGCAGUCUCACAGCACCCAUCCCUCUCUCACAGCACCAUCCAACUCCCACAGCACCCAUCCCGUGCCCACAGCACCCAUCCCACGCUCACAGCACCCAUGCCAGGCUCACAGGACCUCUGCCAGGUGUGUGCCACCUGUACCGACAGCGUUUCUGCCCUGCUUGUUACACCCAUGGCAGCCUCACAGCAUCCACACCGGUCCCGUGACACCCUCACCAGUCCCACAAUACCCACAAAAGUCCCA
Molecule: long non-coding RNA, 1032 nt
Filed under: Parus major (Great Tit)
Lineage: Eukaryota; Metazoa; Chordata; Aves; Passeriformes; Paridae
Description: lncRNA (ENSPMJG00000009260.1)
Source: RNAcentral